UACGAAGGGGGCUAGCGUUGCUCGGAAUUACUGGGCGUAAAGCGCACGUAGGCGGUCUUUUAAGUCGGGGGUGAAAUCCUGGAGCUCAACUCCAGAACUGCCUUCGAUACUGGAAGACUCGAGUCCGGGAGAGGUGAGUGGAACUGCGAGUGUAGAGGUGAAAUUCGUAGAUAUUCGCAAGAACACCAGUGGCGAAGGCGGACUCACUGGC
Molecule: ribosomal RNA, 211 nt
Filed under: uncultured bacterium
Lineage: Bacteria
Description: partial 16S ribosomal RNA
Rfam family: Bacterial small subunit ribosomal RNA
Source: RNAcentral